GACGAACGCUGGCGGCGUGCUUAACACAUGCAAGUCGAACGGAAAGGCCCUGCUUUUGUGGGGUGCUCGAGUGGCGAACGGGUGAGUAACACGUGAGUAACCUGCCCUUGACUUUGGGAUAACUUCAGGAAACUGGGGCUAAUACCGGGUAGGAGCUCCUGCUGCAUGGUGGGGGUUGGAAAGUUUCGGCGGUUGGGGAUGGACUGGCGGGUUAUCAGCUUGUUUGUGUGGUAGUGGCUUACCAAGGGUGUGAGGGGUAGCCGGCCUGGGAGGUGUGCCGGCGACAAUACGACUGAGAUAGGGCGCAGAAUGCUACGUGAGGCAACAGGGGGGAGUAUGACGGAGUGAGGGGAAGCGUGAUGCAGCAGCGCCGCGUGCGGGAAGCCGGCCUUCGGGUGAUGAACCGCUUUCGCAUGUGCCGAAGCGGGAGUGACGGUAAUGGGUAAAGAAGCACCGGCUAACUACGUG
Molecule: ribosomal RNA, 468 nt
Filed under: uncultured bacterium
Lineage: Bacteria
Description: partial 16S ribosomal RNA
Rfam family: Bacterial small subunit ribosomal RNA
Source: RNAcentral